GACGAACGCUGGCGGCGUGCUUAACACAUGCAAGUCGAACGGAAAGGCUCUGCUUUUGUGGGGUGCUCGAGUGGCGAACGGGUGAGUAACCCGUGAGUAACCUGCCCUUGACUUUGGGAUAACUUCAGGAAACUGGGGCUAAUACCGGAUAGGAGCUCCUGCUGCAUGGUGGGGGUUGGAAAGUUUCGGCGGUUGGGGAUGGACUCGCGGCUUAUCAGCUUGUUGGUGGGGUAGUGGCUUACCAAGGCUUUGACGGGUAGCCGGCCUGAGAGGGUGACCGGCCACAUUGGGACUGAGAUACGGCCCAGACUCCUACGGGAGGCAGCAGUGGGGAAUAUUGCACAAUGGGCGGAAGCCUGAUGCAGCAACGCCGCGUGCGGGAUGACGGCCUUCGGGUUGUAAACCGCUUUCGCCUGUGACGAAGCGUGAGUGACGGUAAUGGGUAAAGAAGCACCGGCUAACUACGUG
This 468-nucleotide ribosomal RNA is filed under the name uncultured bacterium. Its description in RNAcentral is "partial 16S ribosomal RNA". It matches the Rfam family "Bacterial small subunit ribosomal RNA", at positions 28 to 507 of the family's 1533-position model. The record is from RNAcentral.